RNAcentral lists this ribosomal RNA (621 nucleotides) under Staphylococcus aureus. RNAcentral's name for it is "partial 23S ribosomal RNA". It matches the Rfam family "Bacterial large subunit ribosomal RNA", at positions 2302 to 2925 of the family's 2925-position model. Lineage: Bacteria; Bacillati; Bacillota; Bacilli; Caryophanales; Staphylococcaceae. The record is from RNAcentral.
GGAGGCGCUCAAAGGUUUCCUCAGAAUGGUUGGAAAUCAUUCAUAGAGUGUAAAGGCAUAAGGGAGCUUGACUGCGAGACCUACAAGUCGAGCAGGGUCGAAAGACGGACUUAGUGAUCCGGUGGUUCCGCAUGGAAGGGCCAUCGCUCAACGGAUAAAAGCUACCCCGGGGAUAACAGGCUUAUCUCCCCCAAGAGUUCACAUCGACGGGGAGGUUUGGCACCUCGAUGUCGGCUCAUCGCAUCCUGGGGCUGUAGUCGGUCCCAAGGGUUGGGCUGUUCGCCCAUUAAAGCGGUACGCGAGCUGGGUUCAGAACGUCGUGAGACAGUUCGGUCCCUAUCCGUCGUGGGCGUAGGAAAUUUGAGAGGAGCUGUCCUUAGUACGAGAGGACCGGGAUGGACAUACCUCUGGUGUACCAGUUGUCGUGCCAACGGCAUAGCUGGGUAGCUAUGUGUGGACGGGAUAAGUGCUGAAAGCAUCUAAGCAUGAAGCCCCCCUCAAGAUGAGAUUUCCCAACUUCGGUUAUAAGAUCCCUCAAAGAUGAUGAGGUUAAUAGGUUCGAGGUGGAAGCAUGGUGACAUGUGGAGCUGACGAAUACUAAUCGAUCGAAGACUUAAUCAA